GGGGGGGGGGAGUGUUCUAACUUCAAGUGGCCAAAACUGUCUUUUCAUAGAAUCCUGUUCCUCACUGCUACGUCUUUUUCAUCGCAAACAUAGCUUUUAAAGAAGAAAAUAUGUAUCAAGUUGCAACCCCCGGCCCACAGAUCAAGGCCAUCAUUACAAAUAACAAAACAUUUGUUUGUUACGUCCUAAAAUGUAUUUUCUGACUAUUGUCAAAAUCUCCAGAAACGGAGCCCACUUGUUUGUGCUACAAACAUAUUACAGUUUUUUAAAUGUUAUUAUCAUACUUGCCAACCUUGAGACCGACAAAUUUGGGAGAUGGGGGGGUUUUCAGGGUUUGGUGGUAGCAGGGGGUGUUUAUAGUAUCCAUCCAUCCAUUUCCUACCGCUUGUCCCUUUUGGGGUCACUGGAGCCUAUUUCAGCUGCAUUCGGACAGAAGGCGGUGUACACCCUGGACAAGUCGCCACCUCAUUGCAGGGCCAACACAGAUAGACAGACGCCAUUCACACACUAGGGACCAUUUAAUGUUGCCAAUCAACCUAUCCCCAGGUGCAUGUCUUUGGAGGUGGGAGGGGCCUAUCCCCAGGUGCAUGUCUUUGGAGGUGGGAGGGGCCUAUCCCCAGGUGCAUACCUUUGGAGGUGGUAGGGACCUAUCCCCAGGUGCAUGUCUUUGGAGGUGGGAGGGGCCUAUCCCCAGGUGCAUGUCUUUGGAGGUGGGAGGGGCCUAUCCCUAGGUGCAUACCUUUGGAGGUGGGAGGGGCCUAUCCCCAGGUGCAUGUCUUUGGAGGUGGGAGGGGCCUAUCCCCAGGUGCAUACCUUUGGAGGUGAGAGGGGAAUAUCCCCAGGUGCAUGUCUUUGGAGGUGGGAGGGGCCUAUCCCCAGGUGCAUAACUUUGGAGGUGGUAGGGCCUAUCCCUAGGUGCAUACCUCUUGGAGGUGGGAGGGGCCUAUCUCCAGGUACAUGCCUUUGGAGGUGGGAGGGGCCUAUAUCCAGAUGCAACCUUUGGAGGUGGGAGUGGCCUAUUCCCAGGUGCAUACUUUUGAAAGUGGGCGGGGGCUAUCCCCAGGUGCAUGUCUUUGGAGGUGGGAGGGGCCUACCCCCAGCUGCAACCUUUGAAAGUGGGCGGGGGCUAUCCCCAGGUGCAUGUCUUUGGAGGUGGGAGGGGCCUACCCCAGGUGCAUACCUUUGGAGGUGGGCGGGGCCUACCCCCAGCUGCAACCUUUGGAGGUGGGCGGGGCCUAUCCCCAGGUGCAUGUCUUUGGAGGUGGGAGGGGCCUACCCCCAGCUGAAACCUUUGAAAGUGGGCGGGGGCUAUCCCCAGGUGCAUGUCUUUGGAGGUGGGAGGGGCCUACCCCAGGUGCAUACCUUUGGAGGUGGGCGGGGCCUACCCCCAGCUGCAACCUUUGGAGGUGGGCGGGGCCUAUCCCCAGGUGCAUGUCUUUGGAGGUGGGAGGAAGCCGGAGUACCCGGAGAGAACCCCCGCAGUCACGGGAGAACAUGAAAACUCCACAAAGAAAGAUCCUGAGCCCGGGAUUGAACCCAGGACCUUCGUAUUGUGAGGCAGAUGCACUAACCCCUAUUCCACAUUCACCCAUCCAUUCACACACACAUUCACACACUGAUGGAGGGAGCUGCCAUGCAAGGCGCUAACCAGGACCCAUCAGGAGCAAGGGUGAAGUGUCUUGCUCAAGGACACAACGGACAGGACUAGGAUGGUAGAAGGUGGGGAUUGAACCAGAAACUCUCAGGUUGCUGCGUCCCCAAUUAUAGUAGUGUCCCGGAAGAGUUAGCGCUGCAAGGGGUUCUGGGUAUUUGUCCUGUUGUGUUUAUGUGUUACGGUGUGGAUGUUCUCCCGAAAUGUGUUGGUCAUUCUUGUUUGGUGUGGGUUCACAGUGUGGCGCAUAUUUGUAACAGUGUUAAAGUUGUUUAUACGGCCACCCUCAGCGUGACCUGUAUGGCUGUUGACCAAGUAUGCCUUGCAUUCACUUACGUGUGUGUCAGAGCCGCAUAUAUUUGUGCUGUUUGUACGGAGGAAAAGCGGGCGUGACGACAGGUUGUAGAGGACGCCCAAGCCACGCCCCCAAUAUUGUUGGAAACCGGGAGAAUGGUUGCCCCGGGAGAUUUUCGGGAGGGGCACUGAAAUUCGGGAGUCUCCUGGGGAAAUCGGAAGGGUUGGCAAGUAUGAGUAUUAUUCAUAAACAUUUGUGCGACAAUUUUUUGGAUUAUUUUUAACUAUUAUAAUUUUUAUACAAUACUAACCUCUUAAUUCAGGAGUCGGCAACCCAAAACGUUGAAAUAGCCGAAUUGGACCACAAACACAAAAAAGCUAAUUUGUCUGGAGCUGCAAAAAAUUUUAAAUACUAAUAAAAGCGUUAUAAUGAAGGCAACACGUGCUAAUUAGUUAUAUUAGCCUACUAUCAAAAAUGACUGUGUGGCAUUUGAUUGGUUUCUGUGUUGAUGUUGAAAUAUAAUAUUUAUUCUACACAUUUUUACACAACUUCUCAGAGGGUGACAUAACUCCUGGAAAUGACUUAGAAUAGUGUGUCCAAGUUUAAGGAAACAUCAGGCUGUCUUCUUCUAUUUAUUAUUACAAUCUUUGCAAGCUGGGUAACAUUUCCUGUGGUCUGGAACAACAUGGCGCACAAACAACAACUAUGAGAAAUGCAGCUAAUAUAACUCAGAUAAUAUGUCAUGAGGCAUGCAAAUAUAAACUAAAUACACAGAGGACAUAAAUAAGCUCAAAUAUAGCUACAAAUGAGGCAUGAUGAUGCAAUAUGUACAUACAGCUAGCCUAAAUAGCAUGUUAGCAUUGAUUAGCUCGCAGUCAUGCAGUUAGCAAAUAUGCCUGAUUGGCACUCCACACAAGUCAAUGACAUCAACAUUCACGUACAGUAUAAAACGGUUGGUGGACAAAAUCAGUAACGUCACAGUCCACACUAUGGUGAGUUCAGGAACCGCCGAAAUUAGUCCUCAAACAAAAAAACAUACUAAACCAAAACAAUUAUUCCAACCCCCGACCCCCACCCCUUUUUUUUUUUACAUUUUCAGUCCUUUUUAAAAAAAUGCUCCUAGGAGCCACUAGGGCGGCGCUAACCCCCGAGUUAGACGAAAAAAUGUGCACCUCGAGGGCUUAGGACCGGUUUGGGGAGAUUUUGACAAGGUUAUGAAUAAUAAAACGUGAAUAACAUUAAAUGUUAACAUAAAAACUACAACAGUAAGACAAACUGUUGCGGCACAAACGAAUGGCUCGAGUUUGGGGAGAGUUUGACAAUAAUAACUGAUUUAACGACAAAAAGUAUAAAACUUAACAAAACAAGAAGUGGAAAAGAAAUUGCAGCACUAAAAAAUGUGACAAGGUGGGGGCUUGUUAUCAAUAAUAUCUUGAUCAUAUAAAAACUAAUUGGACAAAACAUUUUUGGAAAGAUUAUGACAAGGUGGUUAUGAAUAACAAGACAGUAAGAACAUAAAAACUAUAAUGUUUGUAAAAACACCAACAAAUGUGACAGUUCCAGAGAUUGGGUUAUGGUGUAAUUACACAUUAAUAAUGGAUUUUAUUUGUAAAAAGCACUUUCCAUUGAGCAAACAACCUGAAAGUGCUACACUGUAUUACAAAAAUAAAUAAAAAGAUGAUAAAAAUGAAUAAAAACUACAAUUUGCACGCACUUUUAAUUUAAAAACACAUAAAAAGAUAAUAAAAUAAAUAAAAACUACAACUCGCACGCACUUUUAAUUUUCCCGAAAGAACUCUCCUGAAGGAAUAAGUAAAGUACUAUCUAUCUAUCUAUUUAAAAAGAAGGGGUUUAAGCCUUUUUAAAAAGCCUUUACAGUCUGUGGUGCCCUCAGGAGGUCAGGGAGAAGAACUCUCCUGAAGGAAUAAGUAAAGUACUAUCUAUCUAUCUAUUUAAAAAGAAGGGGUUUAAGCCUUUUUUAAAAGACUUUACAGUCUGUGGUGCCCUCAGGUGGUCAGGGAGAGCGUUCCACAGACUGGGAGCGGCGGAGCAGAACAUAAACCGACACAACGGGUUACGGUUUGAUUACACGUUAUAAACUCGUGACAAAGACAAACCAUUUGACAAGUUUGAGGGAGCCAUCGACAAAGUGAAGGGGCUGGAUGAUGUCACUUGGUAGAAAAGGUCUUCCGGAAGGACUUGAAACCCCUUUUUAUCACAAACGUAGAACAAAGCAAGGCAGCGCUACUUUCAUAUUUGCAAUAAUAAGGGGCGUCAACUUCACAGGAGUGAGAAUGUCAGGCCACAACAUUAGGUACACCUGCACAAUCUAAAUCAGGGGUGUCCAAACUUUUUCCUCUGAGGGCUGCACACUGAAAAAUCAUUUUUAUUUUAAAAACCAAUACAAUAUGUGUAUAAAAAAUAUACAUUUAGGCCUCCACUCAGUUAUGAUCCCGGGGACCCCAAAGGGUCUUGGUAAAAAACAAUAUUAAAAAUGUGUCAUUAUUCAAUAUUAUUAUUUUCAUUAUUAUUCAAGUUUUAAAUCUCUAGAUCAACAUAAGGAAAAAAAUGGAAAAAAAAACCACAAAAUAUGCAAUAUUUUCACCCGAUAACAUUUUUUUAGGUGGAAUAUUUGAGAUUAUAUAAUAAUUGGAGCCUUAAUUUGGGAUUUUGAUUCAUUAUUAUUUUUGGAGCAAUGACACUUAAAAACAAAUCACACUAAAAUAAUCGGGGAUCCAAAAGUGUCCUCAUUAAAGUGUAAAAAAAUCAAUUAUAUAUUUUUUUGUAGUUUACUUUUAGCACAAUAAUCUCCAGAUCAACUUCAGAUCUAUCCGUCAAUUAUUAGUUUCAUUGUUGUUUAUGUUUUUUGUUUGUUUUAGGAUCUUCUUUAAAAAAAUAAAUAAAAUAAAAAACACAAAUUAUGCAAUAUUUUCACCCGAUAACAUUUUUUUAGGUGGAAUAUUUGAGAUUAUAUAAUAAUUAGAGCCUUAAUUUGGGAUUUUGAUUCAUUAUUAUUUUUGGAGCAAUGACACUUAAAAACAAAUCACACUAAAAUAAUCGGGGAUCCAAAAGUGUCCUCAUUAAAGUGUUAAAAAAUCAAUUAUAUAUAUUUUUUUACUGUUUACUAUUAGCACAAUAAUCUCAAAAUCAACUUCAGAUCUAUCCGUCAAUUAUUAGUUUCAUCGUUCUUUAUGUUUUUUGUUUGUUUUAGGCCCUUCUUUAAAAACAAAAACAAAAUAUGCAAUAUUUUCACACGAUAACAUUUUUUAGGUGGAAUAUUUGAGAUUAUAUAAUAAUUGGAGCCUUAAUUUUGGAUUUUGAUUCAUUAUUAUUUUUGGAGCAAUGACACUUAAAAACAAAUCACACUAAAAUAAUCGGGGAUCCAAAAGUGUCCUCAUUAAAGUUUAAAAAAAUCAAUUAUAGAUUUUUUUUACUGUUUACUUUUAGCACAAUAAUCUCAAGAUCAACUUCAGAUCCAUCCGUCAAUUAUUAGUUUCAUCGUUCUUUAUGUUUUUUGUUUGUUUUAGGCCCUUCUUUAAAAAAAAACACAAAAUAUGCAAUAUUUUCACCCGCUAACAUUUUUUUAGGUGGAAUAUUUGAGAUUAUAUAAUAAUUGGAGCCUUAAUUUUGGAUUUUGAUUCAUUAUUAUUUUUGGAGCAAUGACACUUAAAAACAAAUCACACUAAAAUAAUCGGGGAUCCAAAAGUGUCCUCAUUAAAGUGUAAAAAAAAUAAAUUAUAUAUUUUUUUACUGUUUACUUUUAGCACAAUAAUCUCAAGAUCAACUUCAGAUCAAUCCGUCAAUUAUUAGUUUCAUCGUUGUUUAUGUUUUUUGUUUGUUUUAGGAUCUUCUUUAAAAAAAUAAAAAAAAUAAAAAACACAAAUUAUGCAAUAUUUUCACCCGCUAACAUUUUUUUAGGUGGAAUAUUUGAGAUGAUAUAAUAAUUAGAGCCUUAAUUUGGGAUUUUGAUUCAUUAUUAUUUUUGUAGCAAUGACACUUAAAAACAAAUCACACUAAAAUAAUUGGGGGUCCAAAAGUGUCCUCAUUAAAGUUUAAAAAAAAUAAAUUAUAUAUUUUUUUGUACCGUUUACUUUUAGCACAAUAAUCUCAAAAUCAACUUCAGAUCCAUCCGUCAAUUAUUAGUUUCAUCGUUGUUUAUUUUUUUUGUUUGUUUUAGGCCCUUCUUUAAAAAAAAAAACACAAAAUAUGCAAUAUUUUCAAUUGAUAACAUUUUUUUAGGUGUAAUAUUUGAGAUUAUAUAAUAAUUGGAGCCUUAAUUUUAGAUUUUGAUUCAUUAUUAUUUUUGGAGCAAUGACACUUAAAAACAAAUCACACAAAAAUAAUCGGGGAUCCAAAAGUGUCCUCAUUAAAGUGUUAAAAAAUAAAUUAUAUAUAUUUUUGUACUGUUUAUUUUUAGCACAAUAAUCUCAAGAUCAACUUCAGAUCUAUCCGUCAAUUAUUAGUUUCAUUGUUUAUGUUUUUUGUUUGUUUUAGGCCCUUCUUUAAAAACAAAAACAAAAUAUGCAAUAUUUUCACACGAUAACAUUUUUUAGGUGGAAUAUUUGAGAUUAUAUAAUAAUUGGAGCCUUAAUUUGGGAUUUUGAUUCAUUAUUAUUUUUGGAGCAAUGACACUUAAAAACAAAUCACACUAAAAUAAUCGGGGAUCCAAAAGUGUCCUCAUUAAAGUGUAAAAAAAUAAAUUAUAUAUUUUUUUACUGUUUACUUUUAGCACAAUAAUCUCAAUAUCAACUUCAGAUCUAUCCGUCAAUUAUUAGUUUUAUUGUUGUUUAUUGUUUUUUGUUUGUUUUAGGCCCUUCUUUAAAAAAAAAAAAAAAAACACAAAAUAUGCAAUAUUUUCACCCGAUAACAUUUUUUUAGGUGGAAUAUUUGAGAUUAUAUAAUAAUUGGAGCCUUAAUUUUGGAUUUUGAUUCAUUAUUAUUUUUGGAGCAAUGACACUUAAAAACAAAUCACACUAAAAUAAUCGGGGAUCCAAAAGUGUCCUCAUUAAAGUGUAAAAAAAAUAAA
Nerophis ophidion (straightnose pipefish) is the source of this 6972-nucleotide long non-coding RNA. RefSeq lists it as uncharacterized. The record is from RefSeq and is a predicted model, not a curated record. Lineage: Eukaryota; Metazoa; Chordata; Actinopteri; Syngnathiformes; Syngnathidae. The transcript is spliced from 2 exons.